CGUACACUCCUGCGGGAGGCAGCAGUGGGGAAUAUUGGACAAUGGGCGCAAGCCUGAUCCAGCCAUGCCGCGUGAGUGAUGAAGGCCCUAGGGUUGUAAAGCUCUUUCACCGGUGAAGAUAAUGACGGUAACCGGAGAAGAAGCCCCGGCUAACUUCGUGCCAGCAGCCGCGGUAAUACGAAGGGGGCUAGCGUUGUUCGGAUUUACUGGGCGUAAAGCGCACGUAGGCGGACUAUUAAGUCAGGGGUGAAAUCCCGGGGCUCAACCCCGGAACUGCCUUUGAUACUGGUAGUCUUGAGUUCGAGAGAGGUGAGUGGAAUUCCGAGUGUAGAGGUGAAAUUCGUAGAUAUUCGGAGGAACACCAGUGGCGAAGGCGGCUCACUGGCUCGAUACUGACGCUGAGGUGCGAAAGCGUGGGGAGCAAACAGGAUUAGAUACCCCGGUAGUCCCAUGA
RNAcentral lists this ribosomal RNA (454 nucleotides) under uncultured organism. RNAcentral describes it as "partial 16S ribosomal RNA". It matches the Rfam family "Bacterial small subunit ribosomal RNA", at positions 330 to 800 of the family's 1533-position model. The record is from RNAcentral.